GAGAGAGAGAAGAGACAGAGAGAGAUGGAGAUCGGCUUCUUGGGCCUCGGCAUCAUGGGGAAGGCGAUGGCCGUCAACCUCCUCCGCAGCGGCCACCGCGUUACCGUCUGGAAUCGAACUCUUUCUAAGUGCAAUGAACUACUGGAACAAGGUGCUUCUGUUGGAGAAACGCCAGCAGCUGUAAUUGAGAAAUGCAAGUAUACUAUAGCAAUGCUUUCUGAUCCCAGUGCUGCUCUUUCGGUAGUUUUUGACAAAGAUGGGGUACUUGAGAAAAUGUGCAGUGGAAAAGGCUACAUUGACAUGUCAACAGUUGAUGCAGAUACUUCAUCUAAAAUCAGUGAGGCAAUAACAAAGAAGGGUGGGCAAUUCCUUGAAGCUCCGGUAUCAGGCAGCAAAAAGCCUGCUGAAGAUGGUCAGCUAGUUAUUCUUGCUGCAGGGGAGAAGUCACUGUAUGAAGAAGUAAUUCCUGCCUUCAACGUAUUAGGAAAGAAGUCUUUCUUUUUGGGGAAAGUGGGAAAUGGAGCAAAUAUGAAGCUCGUAGUCAACAUGAUAAUGGGCAGUAU
RNAcentral lists this unclassified non-coding RNA (563 nucleotides) under Hevea brasiliensis (rubber tree). The record is from RNAcentral. Lineage: Eukaryota; Viridiplantae; Streptophyta; Magnoliopsida; Malpighiales; Euphorbiaceae.